Molecule: transfer RNA, 72 nt
Filed under: Heterocephalus glaber (naked mole-rat)
Lineage: Eukaryota; Metazoa; Chordata; Mammalia; Rodentia; Bathyergidae
Rfam family: tRNA
About the family: Transfer RNA (tRNA) molecules are approximately 80 nucleotides in length.
Source: Rfam by way of RNAcentral
AGGGGUGUGGCUCAGUGGUGGAGCACUUGCCUGGCAAGUGCAAGGCCCUGGGUUUGAUCCCCAGUACCUCAA